AUUGAACGCUGGCGGCAGGCCUAACACAUGCAAGUCGAGCGUGCGGCGGACGGGUGAGUAAUGUCUGGGAAACUGCCUGAUGGAGGGGGAUAACUCCUGGAAACGGUAGCUACUACCGCAUACCCUCGGAUGUGCACAGAUGGGAUUAGCUAGUAUGUGGGGUAAAGGCUCACCUAGGCGACGAACCCUAGCUGGUCUGUGAGGAUGACCAGCCGCACUGGAACUGAGACGCGGUCCAGACUCCUACGUGAGGCAGCAGUGGGGAAUAUAGCACAAUGGGCGCAAGCCUGAUGCAGCCAUGCCGCGUGUGUGAAGAAGGCCUUCGGGUGGUAAAGCACUGUCAGCGGGGAGGCGUUACCCGCAGAAGAAGCACCGGCGAACUCCGUGCCAGCAGCCGCGGUAAUUC
RNAcentral lists this ribosomal RNA (406 nucleotides) under uncultured bacterium. Its description in RNAcentral is "partial 16S ribosomal RNA". It matches the Rfam family "Bacterial small subunit ribosomal RNA", at positions 30 to 526 of the family's 1533-position model. The record is from RNAcentral.